AGUCACUGACAUUAGACUACCCCCGUAGUCCCAGCCGUAAACAAUGUGCGUUAGGUGUGUCGGUAACCACGCGUUACUGAUGCGCCGAAGAGAAAUCGUGAAACGCACCACCUGGGAAGUACGGUCGCAAGGCUGAAACUUAAAGGAAUUGGCGGGGAGCACCACAACAGGUGGAGCCUGCGGUUUAAUUGGAUUCAACGCCGGACAUCUCACCGGAUAAGACAGCUGAAUGAUUGUCAAUCUGAAGGUUUUACAUGACUAGCUG
RNAcentral lists this ribosomal RNA (265 nucleotides) under uncultured archaeon. RNAcentral's name for it is "partial 16S ribosomal RNA". It matches the Rfam family "Archaeal small subunit ribosomal RNA", at positions 718 to 982 of the family's 1478-position model. The record is from RNAcentral.